GACGAACGCUGGCGGCGUGCUUAACACAUGCAAGUCGAACGAAGUGGCGAACGGGUGAGUAACGCGUAAUCAACCUGCACUUCAGAGGGGGACAACAGUUGGAAACGACUGCUAAUACCACAUACGUAAGAGGGGCAUUGCGUCUGAUUAGCUAGUUGGCGGGGUUACGGCCCACCAAGGCGAUGAUCAGUAGCCGUUCUGAGAGGAUGAACGGCCACAUUGUGACUGAGACACGGCCCAGACUCCUACGGGAGGCAGCAGUGGGGAAUCUUCCGCAAUGGACGAAAGUCUGACGGAGCAACGCCGCGUGAGUGAUGACGGCCUUCGGGUUGUAAAGCUCUGUUAAUCGGGACGCGGUACCGGAAUAGAAAGCCACGGCUAACUACGUGCCAGCAGCCGCGGUAAUAC
Molecule: ribosomal RNA, 408 nt
Filed under: uncultured bacterium
Lineage: Bacteria
Description: partial 16S ribosomal RNA
Rfam family: Bacterial small subunit ribosomal RNA
Source: RNAcentral